UUUUUUUUUUUUUUUUUUUCUCCCCUUCUUCUUUUUGCGCGCCAUCGAAAA
Molecule: non-coding RNA, 51 nt
Filed under: Palpitomonas bilix
Lineage: Eukaryota
Source: RNAcentral